GUCAACUUCCUGUUCACAUGUGGUCAAAGACACUAAUCUGAGAGCCCCCAGAGUACCAUUGGACCACGUUGAAGGAUUGCUGUCAGGAUGGGAGUGGCCGAGCUCUGGGUGAACAAGACUGUACACUCCUCCCUCUAAUCGCUGCCUCUCACAUCUGCAAGAUAGCUCAGGAGCAGAGUUGUUCGACUGUAGUAGGGGACAAAUUGUUUACCAGCGGCAUCAACCUGGCCAAAGAACAUGGGGACCCCUGUGAAACAAAGACUACCAAGACCAGGCUGAAUUGAAACCUUCACCUUGUGAUCCACUGAAGUCACCGGCUAAUGGUCCAUGCAAAGGUCAGGAAUCUCUGAUUCAGUCAGUUAUGUAUAUUUGAGCCUGUUUAUUUUCUAUUACAGUUCUGCCAAGCAUACAAUACACUUUUUGUUGCAUGAGUAAUUUAAUGUAUUUCUAUACAAUUAAAAACUUUAAAAUGCUAUUCGGAGAAGAGCAAAAACAAGCAAAAAUGACCUGUCAUUAUCAGCCAGGCUGUAACGAUCGUUGUUAGAAGGAUUGGACCAAGGUGCAGCGCGGAAGGCGUUCAUCAUGAUUAUUAAUGUGAACCAGCAACAAAACAAUAAAGCGUAACAAAAUGAAAGUGCAGCUUUGUAGUGCAAAAAGGCGACAAUACAAAAACAAGAUCCCACGCACAACAGGU
Oncorhynchus mykiss (rainbow trout) is the source of this 694-nucleotide long non-coding RNA. RefSeq lists it as uncharacterized. Lineage: Eukaryota; Metazoa; Chordata; Actinopteri; Salmoniformes; Salmonidae. The record is from RefSeq and is a predicted model, not a curated record.